Molecule: ribosomal RNA, 497 nt
Filed under: uncultured bacterium
Lineage: Bacteria
Description: partial 16S ribosomal RNA
Rfam family: Bacterial small subunit ribosomal RNA
Source: RNAcentral
GAUGAACGCUGGCGGCGUGCCUAAUACAUGCAAGUCGAGCGAACAGACGAGGAGCUUGCUCCUCUGACGUUAGCGGCGGACGGGUGAGUAACACGUGGAUAACCUACCUAUAAGACUGGGAUAACUUCGGGAAACCGGAGCUAAUACCGGAUAAUAUAUUGAACCGCAUGGUUCAAUAGUGAAAGACGGUUUUGCUGUCACUUAUAGAUGGAUCCGCGCCGCAUUAGAUAGUUGGUAAGGUAACGGCUUACCAAGGCGACGAUGCGUAGCCGACCUGAGAGGGUGAUCGGCCACACUGGAACUGAGACACGGUCCAGACUCCUACGGGAGGCAGCAGUAGGGAAUCUUCCGCAAUGGGCGAAAGCCUGACGGAGCAACGCCGCGUGAGUGAUGAAGGUCUUCGGAUCGUAAAACUCUGUUAUUAGGGAAGAACAAAUGUGUAAGUAACUAUGCACGUCUUGACGGUACCUAAUCAGAAAGCCACGGCUAACUAUGUG